RNAcentral lists this ribosomal RNA (320 nucleotides) under uncultured eukaryote. RNAcentral describes it as "partial 18S ribosomal RNA". It matches the Rfam family "Eukaryotic small subunit ribosomal RNA", at positions 1470 to 1796 of the family's 1831-position model. The record is from RNAcentral.
CCCCUAGAUGUUCUGGGCCGCACGCGCGCUGCACUGAACAGUUCAACAAGUCUUAACCUUGGCCGAUAGGUCUGGGUAAUCUUUGAACGCUGUUCGUGAUUGGGAUAGACCUUUGCAAUUAUGGGUCUUCAACGAGGAAUUCCUAGUAAACGCAAGUCAUCAGCUUGCAUUGAUUACGUCCCUGCCCUUUGUACACACCGCCCGUCGCACCUACCGAUUGAAUGGUCCGGUGAAAUCUCGGGACGGCGGCUUGGUCGCUUGCGUCCGACUGCUGAAACUUGAUUAAACCAUAUCAUUUAGAGGAAGGUGAANUCGUANCA